This 5141-nucleotide long non-coding RNA is filed under the name Nicotiana benthamiana. RNAcentral's name for it is "long non-coding RNA (NBEN_LNC010343)". Lineage: Eukaryota; Viridiplantae; Streptophyta; Magnoliopsida; Solanales; Solanaceae. The record is from RNAcentral.
CGGCAAAAGUCAAACCAAACCUAUCAAAUAGCAAAGACAACAGACAGAUAGCACAUGCAAUUAAACAUAGGCAACACUUGCUCUCACUGUACAAAAAACUAGAGUAGUAAAAGUAAGAGAACGCAACUUAAUUAACCAUCAUUGGCGGAGACAAAAUUCUAGCACUUGUCAUCGGCAGCAUUUCCAUUUUUCACAGUCUCCAUCUGUACGGUAGAUUUAGACUUCCUUGGCUUGAACCAUAUCGCAGCAAUUAGGUAAAGCCCAAAGUUUAUGACUCCCAAUAUAGCAAGAAGGCCAUAGAAUCAUCUAUGGGUAGCCCUGCUGACCCACACCCAACCCCGGGUGAGGCGUACGAAAAACUCUAGGAGCCCCUAACCUACAACCCUGAUUCUAGACCUCCAGACUCUCCUAUCAUGGGUCAUGUCCUCGGAAACCUGCAUUCUAGUCAUAUACUGCUUAAUCAACUCUCCCCAAUGCUUCUUAGGCCUCCCUCUGCCUCGCCGACCGCCAACAAUCUCUAGCCGCUCACGGCUCCUCACCGGGGCAUCGGGACCCCUCCUCCGUACAUGCCCGAACCACCUCAGCCUCGCGUCUCGCAUCUUCUCAUCCACCGGGGCCACCACUACCUUCUCUCGAAUAACUUCAUUCUUAAACUUAUCUAGCCUGGUGUGCCCGCACAUCCACCUAAGCAUCCUCAUCUCCGCAACCUUCAUUCUCUGAACAUGAGAGUUCUUCACGGGCCAGCACACCGCCCCAUACAACAUCGCAGGUCUAACCACGGCUCUAUAGAAUUUCCCUUUGAGCUUGUGAGGAACUUUCUUGUCACACAGGACCCCUGAUGCAAGCCGCGACCGCCAACAAUCUCCAGCUGCUCACAGCUCCUCACCGGGGCAUCGGGACCCCUACUCCGUACAUGCCCGAACCACCUCAGCCUCGCUUCAAAUAAUGUAAUUGUUUAGAUACCAUAGUGUUAUGAGAAUGGUUUGUUCAUUUUGUGUUUGUCAAAUGAUAUUGUUUUGAUUGGUUGAUAAUUGAAUGCUCGACUAUGUAUAACAUCUAAAGCAUGCACAACUUCUAAUGCCUUAGCUAUAAUUCGUGGCAUGUGAAUAAACCUUGAAUUAAUUUAGGAAGUAAGUAUGCGCCCUCGUAGUUCACUUUAAGCACAAAUCCUUUGAAGUAAAUUGAGGUGUGCCAUUCGCAAAAUGAAUCCCAUAAUCUAUGGUCCUCGCACGUGUAGAAAAGACUUGGAACAUUCAUAACUAGUUUAGAAGACACUUUGAACCGUCGUAGUUUGUUUUAGGAGCGUUUAUAAUAAAUUAUCGUGGUUAUGGGUGCGGUUCCCAUGUCAUAGUUACGAUAUGUAAUUUCUAAAUUCGGGUGUACAUUUAUGUGAUACGACUAUAAUUUAUAAUUUUGUUAAUGAAUUAAACAUGUUGUAUAUCGUGGGUACUCUGUGAUACGAUUCGCGAUGUGUACCAAAUAAAUAAGUGUAUGAAAAUCGUGAUUUAUUCUAUAAAUGUUGAAGGCGGUUAAAAGGUAUAAAGUAUGUAAUUAAUCAGAUAAUUAGGUCAAUAUUAAUAGUUGAGCAACCAUGCUAAAAUCAUAGAACUCAGAAAUAUCUAACACCUUCUCCCGGGUUAACAGAAUUCCUUACCCAAUUUUUUGUAUUUCGCGGACUGUAAAACAGAGUCAAACUUCCUUGAUUCGGGAUUUUAAACCGAUGACUUGGGAAACCAUAAAUUGUUCCAAGCGGUAACUCCGAGCUUAAAUAAAUAAUUCCGUUUCGAUCAUUGUCACAUUAAUUGGAAAAACUCCGUUAUAUACCCUUCUCGGGGUAGAAAAAGGAGGUUUGACACGCGGUUGUUUUCCAAAGGAUGACUCUUUGAACCGGGCAGUAAUUAUUUUAGGUAGAAUUUUCAAAAAAUUUAGACUUUUCCCAACGAUGAAUUUCUUGGACAAUUUUCUUGAGGGAUUAAAGUCUAAAGGCAAAAUAUACAAAAAGAUUUUUCUUUUCUUUUUAGAAAUGACAAUGGAAUGAGAAAAAGUUGAGUAUCGGUACUUUUUGACAAGUUUUUUUGGCAAGACUUAGAGCUGUAAUAUUUGAAUUGAUUACCAUCUUCGUGUUCUAUGAGCCUACAUGCCUUGUGAAUAUAUGCGACUUUCAUUUUGAUGCUUAAGUUCAUUUGUUGAUCAUGUGAUUACUUUCGAUGAGUUGAGUUAAUAUGAUGGCUAUGCUUAGUUAUUUAAUUUGAGUGACGGUCUGAACUUUUCGAAGUGAAUCAUGUGUAUUGUGUGAUGUGAGGCUUGAUUACAUUUUGUGCUAACUUGUAUUAGUGUAGAACUUGCCACGUGUAUUAAUAGAAAGCGAAAUAAGUAAAUUUUAUGAGUCUUAGCGAUGAUGUAGGCGUUGCUUUGAUUGUCCAUUGAGCUAGUAUGUCACCAUAAAUAAAAUUAUCUUUAAAUAGCCUAUUUGAGCCUAUAAACCUUUUCUUUGACACCCACUUUAUAGUUGAUUUCCUUUUUAUUCUUAAUUAGAUCUUUUUGAACAUUUACCUCCAAAAGCACUUAAGUCGCAAGAAGAGUAAGGUGAGAGUUGGGGUAAACUUUGAGUGGAAUCACAGAAUGAAAUGUGCACGUAUGUUUUGAAAGCACAUUCCCGAGCAACCCAAGUUUGGGGAGUGUUGGAAAAAAAAGAAAAAAAAUCAAAGAAAAUACAAAAAGAAAAAUGGAAAAAAUAGAAAAUACAUCUCUCAUUCCUCUUAAUCCGGGCUAGUGAAUGCAUAGUCUUGCUUAAAGAAGAUGAGUUAAAUCGUAUAUAAUUUCGUAGCAUUGCUUGAAUUGGUCAUGAAGAGUGUGUAUUUGAAAGUUAAGUGUAGUGUAUUAAAGUGCCUGGGAGGGUUAGUCACUAUACCCAAAUAUAUCAUACCCAUCCCUUAACCUAUAUUACAACCUGGAAAGACCUAAUUAAUCCUAGACUUCACAAGCUUAAAUUAGUAGAGACAUACACUACUGGCAAGUCCAUUGUACGACCUCGAGAUGCACAUGAAUUUCUUUGUGAGAGUAAGUAAAUUUUUUCUAUUUUUAAGUCCUUAAAUUAUACUUAAAUGCAUAUUUGAGUGAGUGGAUUAAUUUCUCUCUUUGAUUGUUGUGAGAGCACAUCAUGUACGAAAGAUUGGUAAUGUUUAGGCAUUUUAAAUUGACACAAAAAUUGAGUCAUAGUAGGAAACGUAUUGGAGUAGUCUUUUAAGGUUAAGAUGUUAGAAAAAGUCAUAGAUAUAUUUCAAAUAGUCUUGGCAUGGGUAAAAUUUUGAAGAAAGAUGUUAAUAGUUGGGUUCUAAGGGUCGGUAAAAAGCAUUUUCAUUGGUGUGAUGCUUGAAUAAUUUGUGUUAAAAUGUGUUUCUCGCCAGUGAACUUAAUUUUGAAAUAUGCUCGAGGUCGCGAAAGAGUUUAAGUGUAGGGGUGCUGAUAAAAUAGUGAAAAAUGCAUAUUUUAGUUUUUGUUGUGAAUUAUGCCCAUUACAUGCAUUCAUAUGUGUAAGAGACAGUUAAAUGAAAGGUGAGUAAAAGAAGUUGAUACAGGACCAAAAGACAAAAGAAAAUGUUCGCUCAUUCACUCUCACGUGCACACAAGGGUGUGAACGAGCUAGAUGAGGGGAGUUUGAAAAAAAAAAAUAGAGAAUUAUGGAAAAAAGGCAUAUAAGUGCACGAAGACCUAGAAGGGAAAAAAAUCUUUGCUCGCUCGCGAGAGUGAACGAACUAAUCUAAAAAGACUGCUCCGAAGUGGGCUUGUAUUACUUCUCCCCAUGCAAACCCUAUCACAUAGAAAUAGCCCUUAAACCCACUUUAGGAGGAGAUUCAACCUAAGGAGGGAAGAUUCGACCUAUGGAGGUAAGAACACACAAGGAGCAAGACGGAGAAUUCUUCUACGAGUUUUUCACUUUCUUCUUCCUAUUUCUAUUAUUAGUUACGCAUUCUAGUAUUGUAGUUUGUAUACUAUUAUGAAUGACUAGUUUUUUAUCCAUGAUUUUGAUACAACCUUUUGUAGGGUGGAUUCUUCAUACGUUUUGAUAUAAUAGAAUAUUUGAGUUUUUUCUACUUGUUCAGCUACAUGCUUAUUUUAGUUAAUUGAGCUCUCAGUUAAUGAUGCAUAUUUAUUAUGUAUUGCUUGAAAAAGAGUACAUAUUUAGGUAGUUGUUGAACAACGUCACUCGUAACAUAUGUGAGAGAUUAAUAUGGUGGGUUUAAAAGCGGGAUUAGAGAUAAUGAAACUUUGACGUGAUCAUAGUGACUAGUGAAAAAGUGCGAGCUAGCGCAAUUCGAGAGAAUAUAACUAGUACAUUGUUGUAGUUGCUCGAGAGAGAAUUAGAAUAAGUCGAGUUCUCACAAUCACUGAAGAAUGUUUAGGCAAAUUAUAAAAGGCGUAGGGGGUAAGAUUUCGACAAUUGGGGAAAUCAUAACUCUAGACCUCUCUAAUCUUGUCUCCAACUCUUAAUAUCUUUAGUUGCUAAUUUAUUACUGUAAGUUGUUAGUUAAUUAGUUAGACAUAAGAAUCUUGACAUUUUAUAACUUACCAAUUGUUCGAGAUAGUCUUCUUUGUGAUACUUAAUAGUUACAACAAAACUUUAACUUUUUGUGGAAUUCGAUUCCAAAUUCUUAAAUCAGGAUAUAUUUACAGCGAUCACUUAUAUAAUUGCGCUUAUUCAGAAAUGAAAUAGACGUGUUAUCAACAGAGAAAUGACAUUAAUAGACGGCAAAAGUCAAACCAAACCUAUCAAAUAGCAAAGACAACAGACAGAUAGCACAUGCAAUUAAACAUAGGCAACACUUGCUCUCACUGUACAAAAAACUAGAGUAGUAAAAGUAAGAGAACGCAACUUAAUUAACCAUCAUUGGCGGAGACAAAAUUCUAGCACUUGUCAUCGGCAGCAUUUCCAUUUUUCACAGUCUCCAUCUGUACGGUAGAUUUAGACUUCCUUGGCUUGAACCAUAUCGCAGCAAUUAGGUAAAGCCCAAAGUUUAUGACUCCCAAUAUAGCAAGAAGGCCAUAGAAACAAUCAAGCCUUGCGUAAUUUAUGUUGUCUGCAAGCCAGCCAUUACCGCCAUUGCUUCCUGUCACCUUCUUGAUAAUAGAGACCAAGAAAC